Molecule: transfer RNA, 72 nt
Organism: Camelus ferus (Wild Bactrian camel)
Lineage: Eukaryota; Metazoa; Chordata; Mammalia; Artiodactyla; Camelidae
Rfam family: tRNA
About the family: Transfer RNA (tRNA) molecules are approximately 80 nucleotides in length. Their secondary structure includes four short double-helical elements and three loops (D, anti-codon, and T loops). Further hydrogen bonds mediate the characteristic L-shaped molecular structure. tRNAs have two regions of fundamental functional importance: the anti-codon, which is responsible for specific mRNA codon recognition, and the 3' end, to which the tRNAs corresponding amino acid is attached (by aminoacyl-tRNA synthetases). tRNAs cope with the degeneracy of the genetic code in two manners: having more than one tRNA (with a specific anti-codon) for a particular amino acid; and 'wobble' base-pairing, i.e. permitting non-standard base-pairing at the 3rd anti-codon position.
Source: Rfam
GGGGGUAUAGCUCAGAGGUAGAGCGCAUGCCUCGCAUGCAUGAAGUCCUGGGUUCCAUCCCCAGCACCUACA